UUGAGUUGGUUCAGAAGAGCU
RNAcentral lists this microRNA (21 nucleotides) under Anolis carolinensis (green anole). RNAcentral describes it as "aca-miR-5393". The record is from miRBase by way of RNAcentral. Lineage: Eukaryota; Metazoa; Chordata; Lepidosauria; Squamata; Anolidae.